Molecule: non-coding RNA, 30 nt
Filed under: Rattus norvegicus (Norway rat)
Lineage: Eukaryota; Metazoa; Chordata; Mammalia; Rodentia; Muridae
Source: RNAcentral
ACCACAGUUUUUGUGAUGUGAAAAGUGCCC